This 232-nucleotide ribosomal RNA is filed under the name uncultured bacterium. RNAcentral's name for it is "partial 16S ribosomal RNA". It matches the Rfam family "Bacterial small subunit ribosomal RNA", at positions 99 to 334 of the family's 1533-position model. The record is from RNAcentral.
CGGACGGGUGAGUAAUGUCUGGGAAACUGCCCGAUGGAGGGGGAUAACUACUGGAAACGGUAGCUAAUACCGCAUAACGUCGCAAGACCAAAGAGGGGGACCUUCGGGCCUCUUGCCAUCGGAUGUGCCUAGAUGGGAUUAGCUAGUAGGUGGGGUAAUGGCUCACCUAGGCGACGAUCCCUAGCUGGUCUGAGAGGAUGACCAGCCACACUGGAACUGAGACACGGUCCAG